This 497-nucleotide ribosomal RNA is filed under the name uncultured bacterium. Its description in RNAcentral is "partial 16S ribosomal RNA". It matches the Rfam family "Bacterial small subunit ribosomal RNA", at positions 29 to 507 of the family's 1533-position model. The record is from RNAcentral.
AAUGAACGCUGGCGGCAUGCCUAAUACAUGCAAGUCGAGCGAACAGACGAGGAGCUUGCUCCUCUGACGUUAGCGGCGGACGGGUGAGUAACACGUGGUUAACAUACCUAUCCGACUGGGAUAACUUCGGGAGACCGGAGCUGCUACCGGAUAAUAUAUUGAACCUCAUGGUUCAAUAGUGAAAGACGGUUUUGCUGUCGCUAAUAGAUUGCUCCGCGCCGCAUUAGCUAGUUGGUAAGGUAACGGCUUACCAAGGCAACGAGGCGUAGACGACCCGAGAGGGUGGUCGCACAGACGGGAAGAGAGAAAGGGCACAGACUCUUACGGGAGGCAGCGGUAGAGAAUCCUACGCGAUGCGCGAGUGCGUGAUAGUGCAACGUCGCGGGAGGGAUGAUGGUCUUCUGAUGGUAAAGCGCUGUUAGUAUGGGAGUACAAAAGUGCAAGUAACUGGGAAGGUAUUGACGGUACCGGGUCAGAAAGCCACGGCUAACUACGUG